UGCCCUCCCGGUGUGGUACUGCACUGC
This 27-nucleotide non-coding RNA is filed under the name Rattus norvegicus (Norway rat). The record is from RNAcentral. Lineage: Eukaryota; Metazoa; Chordata; Mammalia; Rodentia; Muridae.